GGAUUAGAUACCCUGGUAGUCCACGCCCUAAACGAUGCGCACUAGAUCGGGGCCGCUCUGACGUGGUCUCGGUCGAAGAGAAAUCGAUAAGUGCGCCGCCUGGGGAGUACGGUCGCAAGGCUAAAACUCAAAUGAAUUGACGGGGGCCCGCACAAGCGGUGGAGCAUGUGGUUUAAUUCGAUGCAACGCGAAGAACCUUACCUACACUUGACAUGCAGAGAAGUUAGCAGAGAUGCUUUCGUGCCUUCGGGAACUCUGACACAGGUGCUGCAUGGCUGUCGUCAGCUCGUGCCG
RNAcentral lists this ribosomal RNA (294 nucleotides) under uncultured bacterium. Its description in RNAcentral is "partial 16S ribosomal RNA". It matches the Rfam family "Bacterial small subunit ribosomal RNA", at positions 775 to 1067 of the family's 1533-position model. The record is from RNAcentral.